Molecule: ribosomal RNA, 348 nt
Filed under: uncultured eukaryote
Lineage: Eukaryota
Description: SSU rRNA
Rfam family: Eukaryotic small subunit ribosomal RNA
Source: RNAcentral
AUAGCGUAUAUUAAAGUUGUUGCAGUUAAAAAGCUCGUAGUUGAAUUUUAGGCUUGGUUGGACGGUCUGCCUUAGGGUUUGUACUGUCCUGGCUGGGUCUUACCUUCUGGUAAACUGUCGUGUCGUUUAUUCGGCGCGGCAGGGAACCAGGACUUUUACUUUGAAAAAAUUAGAGUGUUUAAAGCAGGCUUCUCGCUUGAAUACAUUAGCAUGGAAUAAUAGAAUAGGACUUUUGGUUCUAUUUUGUUGGUUUCUAGGACCGAAGUAAUGAUUAAUAGGGAUAGUUGGGGGCAUUAGUAUUUAAUUGUCAGAGGUGAAAUUCUUGGAUUUAUUGAAGACUAACUACUG